UACGGGAGGCAGCAGUGGGGAAUAUUGCACAAUGGGCGGAAGCCUGAUGCAGCGACGCCGCGUGAGGGAUGACGGCCUUCGGGUUGUAAACCUCUUUCAGUAGGGAAGAAGCGAAAGUGACGGUACCUGCAGAAGAAGCGCCGGCUAACUACGUGCCAGCAGCCGCGGUAAUACGUAGGGCGCAAGCGUUAUCCGGAUUUAUUGGGCGUAAAGAGCUCGUAGGCGGUUUGUCGCGUCUGCCGUGAAAGUCCGAGGCUCAACCUCGGAUCUGCGGUGGGUACGGGCAGACUAGAGUGAUGUAGGGGAGACUGGAAUUCCUGGUGUAGCGGUGAAAUGCGCAGAUAUCAGGAGGAACACCGAUGGCGAAGGGCAGGGUCUCUGGGCAUUUUACUGACGCUGAGGAGCGAAAGCAUGGGGA
RNAcentral lists this ribosomal RNA (418 nucleotides) under uncultured bacterium. RNAcentral's name for it is "bacterial SSU rRNA". It matches the Rfam family "Bacterial small subunit ribosomal RNA", at positions 340 to 767 of the family's 1533-position model. The record is from RNAcentral.